AUUGAACGCUGGCGGAAUGCUUUACACAUGCAAGUCGAACGGCAGCACGGACUUCGGUCUGGUGGCGAGUGGCGAACGGGUGAGUAAUGUAUCGGAACGUGCCCAGUCGUGGGGGAUAACGUAGGGAAAAUUACGCUAAUACCGCAUACGAUCUAUGGAUGAAAGCGGGGGAUCGCAAGACCUCGCGCGAUUGGAGCGGCCGAUAGCAGAUUAGGUAGUUGGUGGGGUAAAGGCCCACCAAGCCAACGAUCGGUAGCUGGUCUGAGAGGACGAGCAGCCACACUGGAACUGAGACACGGGCCAGACUCCUACGGGAGGCAGCAGAGGGGAAUUUUGGACAAUGGGCGAAAGCCUGAUCCAGCCAUUCCGCGUGCAGGAUGAAGGCCCUCGGGUUGUAAACUGCUUUUGUACAGAACGAAAAGGUUUCUACUAAUACUAGGAGCUCAUGACGGUACUGUAAGAACAAGCACCGGCUAACUACGUGCCAGCCGCCGCGGUAA
Molecule: ribosomal RNA, 500 nt
Filed under: uncultured bacterium
Lineage: Bacteria
Description: partial 16S ribosomal RNA
Rfam family: Bacterial small subunit ribosomal RNA
Source: RNAcentral